Molecule: long non-coding RNA, 266 nt
Filed under: Nicotiana benthamiana
Lineage: Eukaryota; Viridiplantae; Streptophyta; Magnoliopsida; Solanales; Solanaceae
Description: long non-coding RNA (NBEN_LNC011335)
Source: RNAcentral
CUUCACCUUUACCUUUUUCUGAGUAACUUUCACUUUGAAAACGGCCUCAAAGUAACUAUUUUCAAACUCAAUUAAAAUUUUCACUCCUCUACUGUUUUUUCUCAAACUGUCUUUCAUGUAAACCUUUUUCAACUCAAAUCCUUCAAAUCCUAUCACAAUCACACUACUCUUAGAAUUAGGUUCUGCCCCCUUGUGUAAGCAUUGCUUUGGGUACCUUGAGUACCCACUGAACUUUGAUGCACAAGGUUGGCAAUUCAACACUUGCA